This 409-nucleotide unclassified non-coding RNA is filed under the name plant metagenome. Its description in RNAcentral is "partial contains small subunit ribosomal RNA, internal transcribed spacer 1, and 5.8S ribosomal RNA". The stretch from base 2 to 215 matches the Rfam family "Group I catalytic intron". From Rfam's summary of the family: Group I catalytic introns are large self-splicing ribozymes. They catalyse their own excision from mRNA, tRNA and rRNA precursors in a wide range of organisms. The record is from RNAcentral.
UUUCCGUAGGUCGCUAGAGUUCAGCCUACCAAAGCAAACCUUUCAAAACUGCUAGUCUCUCCCCGAGGCGACACGCUCAAUGUUGCGGAGAGGCCCUCUUUUCAGAGGGUAAUCCGCAGCCGGCCCCCUAAAGGCUGGUUCAGAGACUCAAUGAGUGUGGGUUUGGCCUUUUGGCCAGGCUUAAGAUAGAGCCCGUCCCUGUAGGCAACUACGGGGGAUGAACGGAACCUGCGGAAGGAUCAUUAAAGAAUCGGUGACCCUCGCGGUCCCAUUCUCACCCUUUGUAUACCUAACUUCAGUUGCUUUGGCUGGCCUUCGCGGGCCGGCCAGAGGACUCAAACCCUUGAAUCUUUGCUGUCUGAGUACUAUAUAAUAGUUAAAACUUUCAACAACGGAUCUCUUGGUUCUG